RNAcentral lists this ribosomal RNA (468 nucleotides) under uncultured bacterium. Its description in RNAcentral is "partial 16S ribosomal RNA". It matches the Rfam family "Bacterial small subunit ribosomal RNA", at positions 28 to 507 of the family's 1533-position model. The record is from RNAcentral.
GACGAACGCUGGCGGCGUGCUUAACACAUGCAAGUCGAACGGAAAGGCCCUGCUUUUGUGGGGUGCUCGAGUGGCGAACGGGUGAGUAACACGUGAGUAACCUGCCCUUUACUUUGGGAUAACUUCAGGAAACUGGGGCUAAUACCGGAUAGGAGCUCCUGCUCCAUGGUGGUGGUUGGAAAGUUUCGGCGGUUGGGGAUGGACUCGCGGCUUAUCAGCUUGUUUGUGGGGUAGUGGCUUACCAAGGCUUUGACGGGUAGCCGGCCUGAGAGGGUGACCGGCCACAUUGGGACUGAGAUACGGACCAGAGUCCUACGGGAGGCAGCAGUGGGGAAUAUUGCAGAAUGGGCGGAAGCCUGAUGCAGCAGCGCCGCGUGCGGGAUGACGGCCUUCGGGUUGUAAACCGCUUUCGCCUGUGACGAAGCGUGAGUGACGGUAAUGUGUAAAGAAGCACCGGCUAACUACGUG